RNAcentral lists this ribosomal RNA (256 nucleotides) under uncultured bacterium. RNAcentral describes it as "partial 16S ribosomal RNA". It matches the Rfam family "Bacterial small subunit ribosomal RNA", at positions 793 to 1055 of the family's 1533-position model. The record is from RNAcentral.
GUCCACGCCGUAAACGAUGGAUACUAGCUGUUGGGGCAACUUCAGUGGCUAAGCGAAAGUGAUAAGUAUCCCACCUGGGGAGUACGGGCGCAAGCCUGAAACUCAAAGGAAUUGACGGGGCCCGCACAAGCGGUGGAGCAUGUGGUUUAAUUCGAUGAUACGCGAGGAACCUUACCAAGGCUUAAAUGUAGAUUGACCGGUUUGGAAAACAGACUUUUCGCAAAGACAAAUUUACAAGGUGCUGCAUGGUUGUCGU